AAUGUUAGCUGGACCCUGAACAUGCCUAUCUUGUCUGAUCUCGGAAGCUAAGCAGGGUCGGGCCUGGUUAGUACUUGAAUGGGAGAUCACCUAGAAAGAUCAGGUGUUGUAGGUG
RNAcentral lists this ribosomal RNA (115 nucleotides) under Pteropus vampyrus (large flying fox). Lineage: Eukaryota; Metazoa; Chordata; Mammalia; Chiroptera; Pteropodidae. The record is from RNAcentral.